RNAcentral lists this long non-coding RNA (445 nucleotides) under Polistes fuscatus (common paper wasp). Its description in RNAcentral is "uncharacterized LOC122513610". Lineage: Eukaryota; Metazoa; Arthropoda; Insecta; Hymenoptera; Vespidae. The record is from RNAcentral.
UUAUACUACUACUUAUACUACUACUUAUACAACUACUUCUACAACUACUACUUCUACUACUACUACUACUACUACUACGUGCGGAGACACGUGACAGGCCGAGUUACAGUACGCUCGAGGAGUCAUGAAGAAGCCACGAUGGAAAAUUAGCCGGUACUGGGACUAAGUUCGGUACUUAGUGAGUGGCAGCUUCAACUACGAACGGUCAAUAAAAUGUUAACAAAAGAAAUAGAUAUAUAUAUACAUAUAAAUAAUUGAAUAAAAAAGAAAAAAGUAGUAAGAAAAAGUAUUGUUAGUUGUAAAUAUCGUGCGACAAGAUGUCAGGUGUGAUGCAAACGUCGCCCGGCCAAGGGAGAGAGCACAGUUUUUCUCACGGGGGAUGUGCCUUUGAACGAGCGAGACAAACGAGUAUAUAAGAGAAAGAAAGAAGAAUAAAAAAAGAAAA